This 2156-nucleotide long non-coding RNA is filed under the name Salmo salar (Atlantic salmon). RNAcentral's name for it is "lncRNA (ENSSSAG00000105038.1)". The record is from RNAcentral. Lineage: Eukaryota; Metazoa; Chordata; Actinopteri; Salmoniformes; Salmonidae.
GUGACAAUCAUAAAUAUUAAAUGUAGCUGCCAAGGUUUGUUGCAUGUUUGAAAAAUAACAUUGUAAAAAACAGUCCAGAAUAUACAGAGUCUUGGUCAUGCUCCUGGCCAUCCCUGACAGUGUCAGGAGGAGUAACUGUGCAUAGACAAUCCCCCUGACACCAUUAUGGAGUGCUAGGAGUGAACUGUUGUGCAAGACAUGCUGGCAGACUGCUGAGACAAAGGGUGGAAAUAGAUGAGACCCUGACACACCACCCCGGAAGCUGACAGAGCUGACUCGUUCUUUUACCUCAUAAACCCACCCCCCCAACCACAAAGGCGCUGUCAUCUAGAGUAUGUAUUACUGUCACCCUAAAUGACCCAGUUAACAUGUGAAGAGGCCACCUGACUGAAGUCAACACGGUGACAGUCAUGUAACACUUUCUAUCCUCUAAGAUAAAAACAAGCCUCAUUUGCAAUUGAAGGCAAGCUGAUCAUCCUAUCUGCACACUAACCAUAUCUGAUCGUUACCUCAUUCUAAAAUACAUUACAAAAGGAAAAACCCAAGAAAUAACAUUAAAAAAAAUUCACAAAAUGGUUAAGUGGGAUAAAUAGGAUUGUGUGUCUCGAGCAGGAGGUCGAGUACCAUUUAGGCUCUCUCUCCCCUUAUCCUGCGGGCCAGCUGGAUGUCUUUGGGCAUGAUGGUGACACGCUUGGCGUGGAUGGCGCACAGGUUGGUAUCCUCAAACAGACCCACCAGGUAUGCUUCGCUGGGCGCCAAUGGCAGCACUCUGGAAACGCAGGUCCGUCUUGAAGUCCUGGGCGAUUUCUCUCACCAGGCGCUGGAAGGGCAGCUUGCGGAUCAGCAGCUCAGUAGACUUCUGGUAACGACGGAUCUCCCUCAGAGCCACUGUUCCUGGCCUGGGAAACAGUAAAACGUUAGCAUGAAUACUUACAUCAUAAACAGACCUGUUAGUGACCCACUUCCUUCAGGUUACAUCUAUAUGUAAACAAACAUGUUGGGAAAACAGGUUGAACUGUUCUAAGUACCUGUAACGAUGGGGCUUCUUCACUCCUCCGGUGGAUGGCGCACUUUUCCUGGCCGCCUUUGUGGCGAGCUGCUUCCUUGGCGCCUUUCCUCCGGUGGACUUACGGGCGGUCUGCUUGGUACGAGCCAUUUCUCACUAGGAAAAUAUAUUUAAGUAAGUCCGAAAAUGAUUUGAAAUGCCUUCAAAAUGAGACAUUACAUUUUCUAUCGCGGUCGAUGGGAAAAGGCGGCUAAAAAUGAAGCAACAUUUUCUACAAAAGCAGAAACGCUGAAAUGUUGCAGCCAAUUUAUCCCACAUCACUUUUGAUAGUUAAACAAUAGUUGCAAUAACUGAAACAAUUUAGCGUCAUUAUAACAAUCGUUACCAUUUCAACGUUACCCUCCCCCACAGCUAACGUAAAUGCACCGCUGGGAGGCGCUUCGUCGGUUCCAGUCGCGCUCGAUUAUGAACGCCACCCCGCCUUCCAGCUUGCUGCCUCGGCCCAGUUGCCAACAUAGCAUAAAUUGCACUGCAGUCUUUGUUCGUUUGAGCGGGCACGAACAGCAUACAUCGAAAGAAUAAAACUUCUCGUGAACGUUGUGCUAACUAGUUUGUCCACUUGUACUUAAGCAUCGUGGAGGAGAAAAGCCCAAUCAGAACGCAAUAAAAAAAAAAAAAAAACAUCGAAAGGAGAAAGCAACUGACAUUAGUUACAACUUCUGACCGACGACUGACCUAGCGUUAGCACUAUGGCUAACGUUAGCUAGAAACAGCCAUCGAAACCCCACGCUGUUUGAAUCGCUGCAUUGAGUCACAGCUAGACAGUCAAGGUAGACCAGCAGACCGUACUCCUCUUCUUUGAGACACACAACGCGAUUAAUGGAAAACGGUGAUGAAUCAAUUUUUAUACUUUCUCAUGACGUCAACUAACCGAAUUCUAAAACCGGUUGGUUGAGAACGAGAAACUCGUAAGACCAUUGGUUAAAAAUCCAUCAAAGUGGCUCACUCAUUGGUUAACAAAAUCAAACAUCCCAUUGGUUAUUUUCUGUCCUCUGUAUCCAAUCAGAGCGACCGAAAUAUUAUCGCAAAAUACUUGGGUUGAAAAUAUUGCAGAAAAUAUAUAAACAUUGUUGUUUCAACAAAAUAUUCU